CAACUCUCAACAACGGAUAUCUUGGCUCCCGUAACGAUGAAGAACGCAGCGAAAUGCGAUACGUAGUGUGAAUUGCAGAAUUCCGUGAACCAUCGAAUCUUUGAACGCAAAUUGCGCUCGAGGCUUCGGCCAAGAGCAUGUCUGCCUCAGCGUC
RNAcentral lists this ribosomal RNA (154 nucleotides) under Trebouxia jamesii. RNAcentral describes it as "5.8S ribosomal RNA". It matches the Rfam family "5.8S ribosomal RNA". From Rfam's summary of the family: 5.8S ribosomal RNA (5.8S rRNA) is a component of the large subunit of the eukaryotic ribosome. It is transcribed by RNA polymerase I as part of the 45S precursor that also contains 18S and 28S rRNA. Functionally, it is thought that 5.8S rRNA may be involved in ribosome translocation. The record is from RNAcentral. RNAcentral also lists the same sequence under 6 other names. Lineage: Eukaryota; Viridiplantae; Chlorophyta; Trebouxiophyceae; Trebouxiales; Trebouxiaceae.